AUGUCGGUGAUAGUUAAGGACGAGGAGGGGAAAACAUUUAUCUAUAAUAAAGGUCCUGACAGUAUAAUGUAUGAGAGGCUGUCAAACUCUGAGAGUACGUAUGGUGAAGCGACGCUGAAGCACAUAAAUGAUUACGCUGAUGCUGGUCUGAGAACACUAGUUCUUGCGUACCAUCAACUUGAGGAGAUUGAAUACGCUAAAUUCGAAAGGAAGUUCACAACAACUAAGAAUUCUGUCAGCACUGAUCGAGAUGAGCUGAUUGACGAGGCGGCGGAUUUGAUAGAGAGGGAUUUGAUUCUGCUUGGCGCCACCGCCGUUGAGGACAAGCUGCAAAAGGGGCGAUAUUUGGCCAAUUUUAUGAACUUAAAAUCAGAUGCUCUUUUUCACAGAUAUACCUGCAGUCUAUUCAGACAAGGGAUGAAACAAAUAACCAUCGCAUUGGAUACAACAGAUAUCAUUGCCUUGAGAAAGGUGGUGACAAAGGAGCCAUUAACAAGGUAG
Molecule: ribosomal RNA, 501 nt
Filed under: Triticum aestivum (bread wheat)
Lineage: Eukaryota; Viridiplantae; Streptophyta; Magnoliopsida; Poales; Poaceae
Description: partial small subunit ribosomal RNA
Source: RNAcentral